GAUCAUGGCUCAGGAUGAACGCUGGCGGUAUGCUUAACACAUGCAAGUCGAACGGUGUAGAGACGUAGCAAUGCUACGUCUCUACAUAGUGGCGGACGGGUGAGUAACGCGUGAGAAUCUGGCUUUGGGUUCGGGAUAACAGUUGGAAACGACUGCUAAUACCGGAUAUGCCUUUCGGGGUGAAAGAUUAAUUGCCUGGAGAUGAGCUCGCGUCAGAUUAGCUAGUUGGUGGGGUAAGAGCCUACCAAGGCGACGAUCUGUAGCUGGUCUGAGAGGAUGAUCAGCCACACUGGAACUGAGACACGGUCCAGACUCCUACGGGAGGCAGCAGUGGGGAAUUUUCCGCAAUGGGCGAAAGCCUGACGGAGCAAUACCGCGUGAGGGAGGAAGGCUCUUGGGUUGUAAACCUCUUUUCUUAGGGAAUAAGAACGUGAAGGUACCUAAGGAAUAAGCAUCGGCUAACUCCGUGCCAGCAGCCGCGGUAAUACGGAGGAUGCAAGCGUUAUCCGGAAUGAUUGGGCGUAAAGCGUCCGUAGGUAGUUAUUCAAGUCUGCUGUCAAAGGAUGAGGCUUAACUUCAUAAAGGCAGUGGAAACUGAAAGACUAGAGAGCGUUCGGGGCAGGGGGAAUUCCUGGUGUAGCGGUGAAAUGCGUAGAGAUCAGGAAGAACACCGGUGGCGAAAGCGCCCUGCUAGGCCGCAUCUGACACUGAGGGACGAAAGCUAGGGGAGCGAAUGGGAUUAGAUACCCCAGUAGUCCUAGCUGUAAACGAUGGAUACUAGGCGUUGCGUGUAUCGACCCACGCAGUGUCGUAGCUAACGCGUUAAGUAUCCCGCCUGGGGAGUACGCACGCAAGUGUGAAACUCAAAGGAAUUGACGGGGGCCCGCACAAGCGGUGGAGUAUGGUGGUUUAAUUCGAUGCAACGCGAAGAACCUUACCAGGGCUUGACAUGUCCGGAAUUUGGAUGAAAGUUCAGAGUGCCUUCGGGAGCCGGAACACAGGUGGUGCAUGGCUGUCGUCAGCUCGUGUC
This 1030-nucleotide ribosomal RNA is filed under the name uncultured cyanobacterium. RNAcentral's name for it is "bacterial SSU rRNA". It matches the Rfam family "Bacterial small subunit ribosomal RNA", at positions 15 to 1066 of the family's 1533-position model. The record is from RNAcentral. Lineage: Bacteria; Bacillati; Cyanobacteriota.